UGGCGCCCAACGUGGGGCUCCUGGCAUGAAGGGCUCAAUGAGGGAGCCGUCCUGAGACAUGUACGUAAAAGUGAAACUAAGAGUUUUGUGACCAACGCUAUGUGGGACCCUGCCAUGCAGCUAGAGUCAUGCUAAGUGAAUGGCGAUAUCCUUUCCCCUUUUUUCUGGCAUGGGUCAGGCAUUAAGUGAUCAUACACACUCUGUGUCAGAUUUAAGUAAAGCUUUAAAGACAAGAGGGAUAAAUGCUAAAGAAAAACAUUUAUUGCAGUAUUUUCAAUUUAUUCAUAAGUUUUG
Regulatory RNA element from Cavia porcellus (domestic guinea pig), 294 nucleotides. It matches the Rfam family "Mason-Pfizer monkey virus packaging signal". Rfam says of the family: The packaging signal is located in the 5' UTR and is required for specific RNA encapsidation. Lineage: Eukaryota; Metazoa; Chordata; Mammalia; Rodentia; Caviidae. The record is from Rfam.